RNAcentral lists this ribosomal RNA (156 nucleotides) under Bryostigma dokdoense. RNAcentral describes it as "Bryostigma sp. SHJ-2019a 5.8S ribosomal RNA". It matches the Rfam family "5.8S ribosomal RNA". From Rfam's summary of the family: 5.8S ribosomal RNA (5.8S rRNA) is a component of the large subunit of the eukaryotic ribosome. Lineage: Eukaryota; Fungi; Ascomycota; Arthoniomycetes; Arthoniales; Arthoniaceae. The record is from RNAcentral.
AACUUUCAACAACGGAUCUCUUGGUUCUGGCAUCGAUGAAGAACGCAGCGAAAUGCGAUAAGUAAUGUGAAUUGCAGAAUUCAGUGAAUCAUCGAAUCUUUGAACGCACAUUGCGCCCCCUGGUAUUCCGGGGGGCAUGCCUGUUCGAGCGUCACA